AUUGAACGCUGGCGGCAGGCCUAACACAUGCAAGUCGAGCGGCAGCACAAGUGAGUUUACUCAUGAGGUGGCGAGCGGCGGACGGGUGAGUAACGCGUAAGGAACUUGCCUCUUGGACUGGGACAACUGUUGGAAACGACAGCUAAUACCGGAUAUUAUGAGAUUCUCGCAUGAGAAACUUAUGAAAGCUAUAUGCGCCAAGAGAGAGCCUUGCGUUCCAUUAGCUAGUUGGUGGGGUAAUGGCCCACCAAGGCGACGAUCCCUAGCUGGUCUGAGAGGAUGAUCAGCCACACUGGAACUGAGACACGGUCCAGACUCCUACGGGAGCAGCAGUGGGAAUAUUGCACAAUGGGGGAACCCUGAUGCAGCCAUGCCGCGUGUGUGAAGAA
This 389-nucleotide ribosomal RNA is filed under the name uncultured bacterium. RNAcentral's name for it is "bacterial SSU rRNA". It matches the Rfam family "Bacterial small subunit ribosomal RNA", at positions 30 to 412 of the family's 1533-position model. The record is from RNAcentral.